CAGCGAGAAGCUACGCAGUCGUUUGCUGUUCCAUCGCUGCCGUGGCUGGUUAACAGUUGACCGCGAAACCGUCAAAGACGGCUCAGCGGCGGAUCCAGGUGGGGAUGAGAGAAGAAAUCGGCCACAUCCUCACGAAGAAUAAUCGCGACAUCUGCUUGAGGUUGGCGAGGUGGGAAGGCUACCCGUGCAGCGCAGUCUCGACAGCGAGGAGCGUUGUGCAGCCUCUACAGCGGUCGGCGGCGGCCAGAUGAGGUGGAGGUGAGGCAAGGACUGGUUUGUCCAGUGGCGCUGGACCCGCGUCACCGUGUUUACGGCGCUGCUCUCCUGGAGGAGGGGAGAGUGGGGACAGAAAACACUCCUUGCAGCGCCACAUCGAAAACAAGCAUCAUCCGCGAAAAGCCGCAUGGAACUUCCGACACUUCCGACUGGCGCAUACUCAACUCUUCACUGUCAAGACGUGUGUCAACGGUCGAGCGUCACAUGACUGCAGUAUUAGCCAGCUGUCACUAGUGUUAGUAAUUUUUUUCAGUUUGCUUUAGUUCUCUAUUAAUGCUAACACUUGUUUCAAUUUGGGUAAACGUAGAAUGUGCAUAUCACCAUCUGGCAGCAUGGCUGGUGUGCUGUUGAAUACUCCUGUAGAGAAAUAGAUAUGAAGUUCCCGGAAUUUUCAGUCGUCUUUUUCUUCCAACUUCACAUAUUGGUCUCGAUUGUUUCAAUGCCUUUCCUUUUGCAAGGCCACACGCAGAGACGGCAGUUAACAAACGCAUCGCCAAUCUGGUCUGGAUGCUUUACUUCACGAAACACCGACGCUACCACUAAAUAGCGGAGCUCGUCUGCUUUUUGAGAAUCGAGAUGCGUCUAUGCUGGAAUCUGAUGAUCGAGCGACUUACGUGACGUCAUUGUAGAAUUACUCAACAGAGGGGGCAUAUGUCAUUGA
This is a long non-coding RNA of Schistocerca gregaria, 937 nucleotides long. RefSeq lists it as uncharacterized. The record is from RefSeq and is a predicted model, not a curated record. NCBI's taxonomy places the organism in Eukaryota, Metazoa, Arthropoda, Insecta, Orthoptera, Acrididae. The transcript has 4 exons.